UAUCGGUUCCCUCGCGACGUGAAACUGUGAACUCCGCCAGGUCCGGAAGGAAGCAACGGCAGCAGUGGAGUCGUGCGCCGAGGUGUAGCUGCUAAGG
RNAcentral lists this signal recognition particle RNA (97 nucleotides) under Candidatus Venteria ishoeyi. RNAcentral describes it as "Bacterial small signal recognition particle RNA". It matches the Rfam family "Bacterial small signal recognition particle RNA". From Rfam's summary of the family: The signal recognition particle (SRP) is a universally conserved ribonucleoprotein involved in the co-translational targeting of proteins to membranes. Archaeal SRP consists of a 7S RNA and homologues of the eukaryotic SRP19 and SRP54 proteins. In most bacteria, the SRP consists of a 4.5S RNA and the Ffh protein (a homologue of the eukaryotic SRP54 protein). Lineage: Bacteria; Pseudomonadati; Pseudomonadota; Gammaproteobacteria; Thiotrichales; Thiotrichaceae. The record is from Rfam by way of RNAcentral.